AGAGUACUGCCGGUGACAAACCGGAGGAAGGUGAGGAUGACGUCAAGUCAUCAUGCCCCUUAAGUUCUGGGCUACACACGUGCUACAACGGUUAACACAAUGAGCUGCAAUUUCGUAAGAAGGAGCUAACCUCAGAAAUUUAAUCCGAGUUCGGAUUGUAAGCUGAAACUCGCUUACAUGAAGCUGGAAUCGCUAGUAAUCGCUGGUCAGCUAUACAGCGGUGAAUACGUUCCCGGGCCUUGUACACACCGCCCGUCACACCACGGAAAUUAGCUACACCCAAAGCUAUUACCUUAACCAGUACUUCUGGAGAGGGGUAUCUAAGGUGGAGUUAAUAACUGGGGUGAAGUCGUAACAAGGUAAGGCUACUGGAAGGUGGCCUUGGAUCACCCUC
RNAcentral lists this ribosomal RNA (394 nucleotides) under Lotharella globosa. RNAcentral's name for it is "partial Bacterial small subunit ribosomal RNA". It matches the Rfam family "Bacterial small subunit ribosomal RNA", at positions 1143 to 1533 of the family's 1533-position model. The record is from RNAcentral. Lineage: Eukaryota; Cercozoa; Chlorarachniophyceae.